RNAcentral lists this unclassified non-coding RNA (4785 nucleotides) under Hevea brasiliensis (rubber tree). Lineage: Eukaryota; Viridiplantae; Streptophyta; Magnoliopsida; Malpighiales; Euphorbiaceae. The record is from RNAcentral.
GGAAUUAUAAGCGAAAAUUAUAGGAGAGGAGUGACUGACUAAUAGACCGCUACUUCACUUAUUUCCAUUGUGUUACAAGCUGGUAACAGGUGAGCCUGGACAGUAUGAGGGAGAGUUUAUUUCUUAAUUAAGUAAUGUUUUCGUUCCUUCUCCGGAAUUCCAUAUGAAUAAUUGAUUGCUUGCUGUCUUUUCGGUGAUAAAAAUGAAAUCAUCCCAUUAUAUUUAAAUAAUAGCCAAAGGUCAUCGUCCUUUCCUUUCUCGUAAACAUCGCCCGUCUUUCCUUCUCUCCUAUUCUCUACUCAUAAAAGCAUUACUGGUUAUGCUCCAGUUUCAAGUAUGGGAGUUGGAGGAUUGCUCAAUCCGUUAACUACAUUUUCUACAACUUCUUCUUCUCCAAAUAGUAAGGCAAUGGCUUCUGUGACAACGGCUAACCUUAUCUACUCUAUCUCAUUUGAUCGUAGACGCGCUCACGCUCCUCAAUUCCUGUAUAAUUUCAAGAAUUACAACAGAAUCUUGAUUAGAAGAUGCAGUAGGCUCUCCUCGAUUGGUCGAUUUGGAGUUUCUUGCGAAUCCAAGAUAGAGGAAAAGAUGGUGAGAAGGUGUUCGCCUUGCCUAGAGAAGGCAUUGCUUACAAGCAAAAGCAAUGGUGCCUUGGCUUCUGAUGAGUGGAGAGCAGUGCCUGACAUUUGGAGGACUUCAGCUGAGAAAUAUGGUGAUCGGGUUGCGCUGGUGGAUCCUUGUCAUGACCCACCUACAAAAAUGACUUAUAAAGAGUUGGAGCAGGAAAUUUUACAUUUUUCUGAAGGUUUAAGAGUUAUUGGAGUGAAGCCCAAUGAGAAACUUGCUCUUUUUGCUGAUAAUUCUUGUCGGUGGCUUGUAGCAGAUCAAGGUAUGAUGGCUAUGGGAGCAAUUAAUACUGUGAGGGGAUCAAGAUCUUCUGUUGAAGAGCUAUUACAAAUAUAUAAUCACUCUGAAAGUGUUGCAAUUGCAGUGGACAGUCCUGAAUUGUUCAAUCGGAUUGCAGAAACAUUUUCUUCCAAGGCAGUUAUCAGAUUUAUCAUUCUGCUUUGGGGAGAUAAAUCAUGCCUAGCUAUCAAUGGAAUGGAUGGCAUUGCUGUUUUCAAUUACAAAGAAAUUAUAGACUUGGGACGAGAGAGCCGUAGAUCUUUGUUCGACUGUGAUUAUGCUAGGCAACACUAUAUGUAUGAAACAAUCAGCUCAGAUGACAUUGCUACACUUGUUUAUACUAGUGGAACCACUGGAAAUCCUAAAGGUGUAAUGCUUACGCAUAAGAAUUUGUUGCACCAGAUAAAUAAUCUCUGGGAAAUUGUUCCUGCAAUACCUGGGGAUAGAUUUCUAAGCAUGUUACCGCCUUGGCAUGCGUAUGAGCGCGCUUGUGAGUAUUUCAUAAUGACGUGUGGAGUUGAGCAAGUGUACACAACUGUGAGAAACUUAAGGGAAGAUCUCCAGCAUUAUCAACCACAUUACAUGAUCUCUGUUCCUUUGGUAUAUGAGACGCUCUACAGUGGGGUACACAAGCAGAUAUCUACAAGCUCCAUAAUUCGUAGGCUUGUUGCACUUACGUUCAUAAAGGUCAGCUUGGCAUACAUGGAGUUGAAGAGAAUUUAUGAGGGAACUUGUUUGACAAGGAUUCAGAAGGAACCAUCAUAUCUUGUUUUGGUGUUGGACUAUCUAUGGGCAAGAAUCAUAGCUGCAAUCUUGUUGCCAGUGCAUAAGUUGGCUGAUAAGCUUGUUUACAGCAAAAUUCGCUCUGCUAUUGGAAUGAGCAAGGCUGGCAUAAGUGGAGGUGGUAGUUUACCAUCGUAUGUUGAUGAAUUUUUUGAGGCAAUUGGCGUGAAAGUGCAAAAUGGGUAUGGUAUGACAGAGUCAUCUCCAGUUACUGCUGCUCGACGGCCCACUUGUAAUGUUCUUGGCUCAAUUGGGCAUCCGAUUCAGCAUACAGAAUUUAAAAUUACAGAUGCUGAAAGCGGUGAAACUCUUCCAGAUGGAUCAAAAGGGAUUGUAAAAGUUAGGGGGCCACAAAUGAUGAAAGGGUACUACAAGGUGAUAUCUUCCUUAAAGAUGCUCAUAUUUUUCAGCUAAUGGAAGAAAUGAUAUUGUGUCCAUGGAAAUAGUUUGAAUGAUGAUUUUUCCUUUUCUCAUGAACAUUAAAACUAAAGCUGACUCAUGGUAGUAGCAUGUUUGCUGGGAUGUCUGCUGACAUUCUUGGUUUUUGAAGGAAAAGAAAAGAGGGAGUGCCUAGGGGAAGGGAUUGAAAUGUAGUUCUGAAUGCAGUAAUAGUUUCUGACAAACAUGAAUACAAGUUCUAAGUGGGAAUUACCAGCAAUUGGGUGUAUAUUUUCAUUUAUUCGUAAUGAUAACAGAAAUAAUAAUUUUUAAAUAUAAAUAGUCUGUCCCCAUUAAGGUGGGAAUUUAGUACCAAUUUGACCUUUUUUGGCCUUUUCUUUUUGAGGGGAAAAAAUAGAAACUUUUUUUUUAGCUUGUUGCAUUCUCGGUAAUCCAAAUUGUUUUAGUUAUUUGCUCUGUUUUAAAAUAAGGAUCAAGAAGAAGGAGGGAAAAAAAAAAAGGCUGUUUUUCAAAUAAUCUUCAAUGUCUUUCCAUUGAUUCAUUCCCAUUGUGAUACCUCCACUAUCAUCAUACAAUCAAAAUUACCCAAAAUUACCCUCAUUUAGUUCAACCUUUUGUUUCCUCUAGGAUUGCUGCUAUGGUUUUGUUCAUAGUUUUGAAAAAUUAUAAUUGUUCAAUAGAUCCUAAACUUUGUCUUCUUUUUCAAUUAUAUCCUUUGCUUUUAAUUUUUUCAAGUAUAUCCUAUGCUUUUUCAAUUGUAUCCAAUGGGCCUAGGAUUUAUAAACAAGUUAAAGUUUUGUCAAAAAUGAAUUCAAAUAUGGAGCUUGUUAAUUAGGAAGAAAUUGGCCCAGCCUCUGCGCUAGGAAUUAUCAAAAUUGUCUCUUAAAAUGCAUUUGGGAUCCAUAUUUUGGAAAAUACUAUCAUUUGAUCACUCUCCUGAUCGGGAGGUCCUUAGCACUCUACAAAACCUUAGCAUGUGCACAUGCCCUAAUCUCACUGGACUGUUGAGACAAAUCAAUAACUUAUGAAUCAAAUUAAUAAAUUUAAUAGUGUAGGGUAUAAUUAACAGGGUAUACAAAAUUCAAAAUAUAUUAGAUUGUUAACCUUUCAAAAAAAAAAAAGCAUUAGUUUCUCAAAAUCCAAAAUAGAAAUAGUUUGUGAUUACAAAUGUAUUAGGUUGAGAUAACAACAAUGUUAUUACAAAGAUAUGGAAUUAAAAGUUGGGAAACCACGAUUAAAGAUAGUUACUGGGUUUUGAUUGGGUUUUGAUCACAUUUCAUUGUAAUUGUUCUUGCAAUAUAAAGUGUUUUAUAAAUAUGCAAUACAAAGUUAGAAUUGCGGUCCAUGGUAUUUUAUUCUAUUAUUAAAGAUAGGUAACAUCUUUCGAGUGAUAUAUGUGAAUUAAGUACAAAUUACAGUUUAUAGUAAGAUUAAGUUUGUUACUUAUGGCAACAUGUUUGUGCUAAUGUUCCAUUAGAAUCCAAUGGCCACAAGAAAAGUGUUAGAUGAGGAUGGUUGGCUAAAUACUGGUGAUAUAGGUUGGAUUGUUCCUCACCAUUCAGUAGGGCGAAGCCGUCGUUGUGGAGGUGUUAUUGUCCUUGAAGGGCGAGCUAAGGAUACCAUAGUUCUUUCUACAGGUGAAAAUGUUGAGCCCUCAGACCUUGAGGAAGCUGCUAUGAGGAGUGCCCUUAUUCAACAGAUAGUUGUUGUUGGCCAGGAUCAACGUCGUCUUGGAGCUAUAGUAGUUCCAAAUAAAGAAGAGGUUCUACUAGCUGCUAAAAAGUUGUCCAUUGUAGAUGUCAAUACCUCUGACCUGAGUAAGGAAAAGGUAGCCAGCUUGGUAGAUGAAGAACUCAGGAAAUGGACAUCUAGCUGUUCAUUUCAAAUUGGACCAAUCCUUAUUGUGGAUGAGCCUUUAACGAUUGAAGAUGGCUUGAUGACCCCAACCAUGAAAAUCCGAAGAGACACGGUCAUGGAACGAUACAGGGAGCAGAUAGCCAAUCUCUACAAAUAGAUCAUACAAUCAAUGUAUACAGGAAACUUAUAGGAAAAAAAUAAAGUGCACUGACAUAUAGCCAGAAGAAAAAUGAUCUCAAUUUCCAAAGUAAGUUCCCAUGAUAGUCUUGCAUUUUGAUGUAUAUACCUUAAAGUAACGUUUUGUUUUAAAUGUCAGAAGGAACAAAUCUCUGCUUGUGCUUAAUUUCUCUCCAAGCUUUGAUGACCCUUUGUCCUUCCAUCCGUUUCAGUUUCAUAAACUCUUUAAUUGGUAGACAUGGUUGUCAAGUCAUAGGAAACAGAAAGAAAAACCCCCUGUUAUUUUCAUUCUUGAUUUUUAAAAAACACCUCAAAGGUCAUGAGUGACAAACGAACAUGAGCAAGCUUGAGGAGAGGACUAUUGCAGAUUCAUCCAUAGCAGGUAGGAUCCCUCACAAAGAAAGCACAUGGGAUAAUCUGCUACCGCUGAUACACCACUGAAACACAACACAAAACAAAACUAAACGCCACCAAAUCAAAGGGGAGAGGGAAGAAUCCACCAUUCCGGAUGGGAAUGAGCCGUCCCCUAGAUGGCCAUGAAUUUUACUAUUGAAAGUUACUGAGAAAAGAGACGCAAAGAACUCUUAUUGAGAAGGGAGAACCAGCUCCCACUGUCUCUCUCCCACAAUGCUUUAUCUAUGGACUUUGUCACUUGUACGUUGA